UAUAUUCUAAUAUUUCUUCAUACUUUAUUUGCUUAAAUAUUUUUGUAUAUCGUGUUUUAUUAGUUGUUUUAAACAAUUUACUAAAUGAUUUAUUUCAAUUCAUUUCAUGUCUUUGUUUUACCUUAAAUUGAUUUGCAUAAUAAUUUUUUAGCCUAUUACUUACUUCAUGUUAUUUUAUUUAUGUACCUUUUCUUUGGAAUUAAGUUUGUUUUAUAUAUUAUUUCGAGUUCGAUAAUUAUUAUGUGUGUUUGGGGUUUGUACGCACAUAUUGUUUAGUACUCUGCCCAUGUUCAUUCAUUUGCUUUUCAGUUCUGAACAUUACAUCAUAGUUAAAAUUUUCGAUUUAUUUGCCAAAAGUUGAUUAUUUCAUUUCUUUUCAUUUCGAAUAAAUCGAAUUUAUAUCAUUGUUAAUAUUGCAUUAAACCUUCGCUUUGAUCCAAUUUCGUAAAAAAUGGAAAAUGAAGUUUGCAAUAUGUCGUCUUUGGAACAAUGAGAAAUCGUGCUCUAACUUACGGGGUUUCAAUUUCCUCAUCUCAUUGAAGCAAGACAUUCGACCCAAUCUUUUGAAAAUAAUAAAUUUCAAUAAAGAUUUUUAAAAAGGGGAAUCACUUUUCAAUCUUUUUUCGUCAUUCGACUUUAAGAUAUUAAAUAAAUAACCGAAUAUCCUUUUUAAACUUUAAUGCAUGAGACAAGUUUAGUUUCGAGGGUUAAAAUCUCGUAUCCUAACUUACUGGAUGUGACAUCUUAUUACUUCAGGAUAAGGAGGUCUGAACAUCAAAUUCGAUUUAUUCAGGUUUUUAAAGAGGAUCGCAUUUUAAAAUCUUUUCAAAUUUUUGACAUUAGGACAUUAAUUAAUCAAUUAGGUACCAGUUUUUGGGCGUUACGAGGGUGGUAAUCAUUCCUCGUGCGUAACCAACUCCCGAGCCCGUUUUCUCAAAUUUUGUAGACCAAAAUCAUUAUUUUAAUAAAUCAAAAUGUUUUAUUAAAAUGAUUAAUCUCAAGGUGACCCGAUCACACCUCGAAAAAAGAUCGGUGGCGACUCUAUUUUCAUUUUAAAAGUCGACCCCGUUUUUCAAAAUAAAAAUGGUUUGGACAAAUACCAUCUUUAUGUCAAAUAUUUAGGUGGCUAGGCUAGAGUAGAAAACUUAAGGUAGAUGAUUUUUAUGUUUUUUUUCUUAUUGUUAGAAUAGGGUGUUCUUUUGUUUUUUAAUUUAGAUUUUUAUUUUCAUGGUGCGAAUCCUUCUUAUCUUUUUGCUGAACUUUACACUGGAGAUUGCUUGAACCUAUAUGCUUUAUCCGAUUUAUAUAUGAGCAUUUAUUUCCUUAUUCUUAUUUUUAUAUAUUGUUUAUCAAGUGUUUGAUAAAAUGUGUGUUUGAGAAUUUGAAUGGGUCAUGUGCUAAUAUUAUUCUUAUUCCUCUGAUUAAUUAUUUGAUUGCUCGAUUAAGUUGUUGACUAUACCCGAUUAGUUUUUUUUUAUUCGAUUAUACCAAAUUGUCCAAUAUACUAAAAUUGACGCUUCUAGGAGAACACUUAGGCAAAUGAGACCAAAUAGGGAGUUUUCCGUGUAAUAUUUUGGUAUAGUUUUGCCGAGUGGAGAGCUUGAAAGGAGAACCGCUUGCCUUAGUGAAACCGAGAGGAGUGCUUGGGUGGUAACUUUUAAUUAGGUGGAGGCCGAAAGGGUGAUCCGAGGUAAGAGUGAUAAUUAUUUAUUUUAGCUCGAUUAAUUAAAAAAAUUUGCCAAGAUUGGGGGUGAAUUGGCUUUUAAAAAAAACUUGGUGGAAGCAAGGAAACAAUAUUAAACAAUGAACACAAAGAUUUAGAGUGGUUCGACUCCAAUUGCCUGCUCCAUUACCUUACCUUUCCACAACCAAGGAUUUCCCCAAAUUCACUAAUUUGUUCAACCUUUGAGAACAAGGUUUAACCUUACGACUCUCUUAAGAUUUCUAUUCCAAAUCUUAAGAUAAACCCUCUCAAAGAAUUACAAAGAAGCAAACUAAGAAAUAAUCCUAACAAGAUCAGAAUAUUUACAAAUUAAGCACAAAUCGGCAAGAAUACAUUUGAGCAAAGAAAGACAAUAAGAGCUCACAAGUGUGUAUAAGAGAAUUUUGGAAGUAUUGAGUACAAAGGUGGUUUGAUUGAUGAUUUUUGCUUGAAAAUAUUUUCUUGUUCUUGUAGGAACUUUAGAAACUGGUAUUUAUACCCCUAAUUGAUUUCCAACCGUUGAGGUUGUUGUGGUAAUUAAUAGAGCUGUUGGGGAUGUGAAAACCAGAGCAUCUAAUACACCUGCAACAGUGAGUAUCUAUACCAGAUAAAAAAGUAUCGAAAAUUUUUGUAAUAAAUGCUAAAUUCAGUGACCGUUGGUUUUAACUAUCGGUACCAAAAUAAUUUUUAUUGAUACUUUAUGAAAAGGUAUCGAUACCGUAUCAAUAUUUUGUAAGUUUUGUGAAAAAUAAAAUGCCAUUUUGGUAUCAAUUUUCCAAGGGGUAUCGAUAUUUUCAAAAUUAUCGAUACUUGGCCAAAAAAGUAUCAAUACUUUUUGGCAUGGAGCAAUUCUGACUUGUUUGAAAAGUAUUUUGACUUGAUAAAAUGAUAAAAGACUUUCUUACUUAGUUAAAAUCAUUUUAACUUGAUUUUAAAACUGUUAUAAAAUUUUUCUAAGAAUUCAAAAUUUUAUAUCUUAGAUUUCAAAUUGAAAAAUCAUUUUGUCAAUUUUGUUCAAUUUUAACUUUUAUUCAAAAAUAUUUCAAUUUGUUAUAUCAAAAUCUUUUAUCAAAAAAGCUUGGUUUAACAAUUUCAAUAAAAAUAAUUGCAAUAACUUAAUUAACAAUUA
This 2831-nucleotide long non-coding RNA is filed under the name Gossypium barbadense (sea-island cotton). Its description in RNAcentral is "long non-coding RNA (GBAR_LNC014168)". The record is from RNAcentral. Lineage: Eukaryota; Viridiplantae; Streptophyta; Magnoliopsida; Malvales; Malvaceae.